RNAcentral lists this ribosomal RNA (441 nucleotides) under uncultured Gracilibacteraceae bacterium. RNAcentral's name for it is "bacterial SSU rRNA". It matches the Rfam family "Bacterial small subunit ribosomal RNA", at positions 338 to 795 of the family's 1533-position model. Lineage: Bacteria; Bacillati; Bacillota; Clostridia; Eubacteriales; Gracilibacteraceae. The record is from RNAcentral.
CCUACGGGGGGCUGCAGUGGGGAAUAUUGCACAAUGGGGGAAACCCUGAUGCAGCAACGCCGCGUGGAGGAUGAAGGUCUUCGGAUUGUAAACUCCUUUGAUGAGGGACGAAUAAUGACGGUACCUCAAAAACAAGCCACGGCUAACUACGUGCCAGCAGCCGCGGUAAUACGUAGGUGGCAAGCGUUGUCCGGAAUUAUUGGGCGUAAAGGGCGCGUAGGCGGUCCCUUAAGUCAGAUGUGAAAUCCCGAGGCUCAACUUCGGGCGUGCAUUUGAAACUGGGGGACUAGAGUGCAGGAGAGGUAAGUGGAAUUCCUAGUGUAGCGGUGAAAUGCGUAGAUAUUAGGAGGAACACCAGUGGCGAAGGCGACUUACUGGACUGUAACUGACGCUGAGGCGCGAAAGCGUGGGGAGCAAACAGGAUUAGAUACCCGGGUAGUC